This 352-nucleotide unclassified non-coding RNA is filed under the name soil metagenome. Its description in RNAcentral is "partial contains 5.8S ribosomal RNA, internal transcribed spacer 2, and large subunit ribosomal RNA". The stretch from base 1 to 120 matches the Rfam family "5.8S ribosomal RNA", at positions 35 to 154 of the family's 154-position model. The record is from RNAcentral.
GAUGAAGAACGUAGCGAAAUGCGAUAAGUAAUGUGAAUUGCAGAAUUCAGUGAAUCAUCGGAUCUUUGAACGCACAUUGCGCCCGCCAGUAUUCUGGCGGGCAUGCCUGUUCGAGCGUCUUUUCAACCCUCAGGCCCCCAGUGCCUGGUGUUGGGGAUCGGCCCAGCCUUCCUGUAAGGCCGCCGGCCCCGAAAUCUAGUGGCGGUCUCGCUGUAGUCCUCCUCUGCGUAGUAGCACAACCUCGCAGUUGGAACGCGGCGGUGGCCAUGCCGUUAAACACCCCACUUCUGAAAGUUGACCUCGGAUCAGGUAGGAAUACCCGCUGAACUUAAGCAUAUCAAUAAGCGGAGGA